This 482-nucleotide ribosomal RNA is filed under the name uncultured bacterium. RNAcentral's name for it is "partial 16S ribosomal RNA". It matches the Rfam family "Bacterial small subunit ribosomal RNA", at positions 28 to 523 of the family's 1533-position model. The record is from RNAcentral.
GACGAACGCUGGCGGCGUGCUUAACACAUGCAAGUCGAACGAUGAAGCCCAGCUUGCUGGGUGGAUUAGUGGCGAACGGGUGAGUAACACGUGGGCAACCUGCCCCAAACUCUGGGAUAACUCCUCGAAAGAGGUGCUAAUACCGGACACGAACUAGGUAGACAUCUGCACUAGUUGGAAAGUUUUUCGGUUUGGGAUGGGCCCGCGGCAUAUCAGCUUGUUGGUGAGGUAACGGCUCACGAAGGCUACGACGGGGAACCGGACUGAGAGGGCGACCGGUCACACUGGGACUGAGACACGGCCCAGACUCCUAAGGGAGGCAGCAGUGGGGAAUAUUGCGCAAUGGGCGAAAGCCUGACGCAGCGACGCCGCGUGAGGGAUGAAGGUCUUCGGAUCGUAAACCUCUUUCAGUAGGAACGAAGCGAAAGUGACGGUACCUAAAGAAGAAGCACCGGCUAACUACGUGCCAGCCGCCGCCGUAA